Molecule: ribosomal RNA, 433 nt
Filed under: uncultured bacterium
Lineage: Bacteria
Description: partial 16S ribosomal RNA
Rfam family: Bacterial small subunit ribosomal RNA
Source: RNAcentral
AGCGAACGCUGGCGGCAGGCCUAACACAUGCAAGUCGAACGAACUCUUCGGAGUUAGUGGCGGACGGGUGAGUAACACGUGGGAACGUGCCUUUUGGUUCGGAAUAACUCAGGGAAACUUGUGCUAAUACCGAAUGUGCCCUUCGGGGGAAAGAUCUAUCGCCAUUAGAGCGGCCCGCGUCUGAUUAGCUUGUUGGUGAGGUAACGGCUCACCAAGGCGACGAUCAGUAGCUGGUCUGAGAGGAUGACCAGCCACACUGGGACUGAGACACGGCCCAGACUCCUACGGGAGGCAGCAGUGGGGAAUCUUGCGCAAUGGGCGAAAGCCUGACGCAGCCAUGCCGCGUGAAUGAUGAAGGUCUUAGGAUUGUAAAAUUCUUUCACCGGGGACGAUAAUGACGGUACCCGGAGAAGAAGCCCCGGCUAACUUCGUG